This 1870-nucleotide long non-coding RNA is filed under the name Micromonas commoda. Its description in RNAcentral is "long non-coding RNA (MCOM_LNC000117)". Lineage: Eukaryota; Viridiplantae; Chlorophyta; Mamiellophyceae; Mamiellales; Mamiellaceae. The record is from RNAcentral.
GCACCCCGUUGCAUCCCCGGAGGUUGAGCGCCACGCACCGCCACCCGCGAACAGCGCCCGUGGCCACCGCCCAUUUCGUUGGGCCCUCGUGGGAUCCCCCGUUGAUCCCGUGCAGCAUGAUGAACACGGGGGCGUCGUCGGGGAGGUCGCACGCCGCGGGGAUGUUGUGGGGGACGACCGCGCGGUUCGCGGCCUCCUCGGGGGUGAACGGCGGACGCGCGGGCGGCGUGAACCGCGCCUUCACCAGCCAGUCCAGCCCGACCUGCCCGCCGUCGGCGCACCGCACCAGCUGCCGGUCGUACUCCAGGAAGAUGGUGAACAUCCGCCCGUACCCGAUCAGCGUCUGCGCGUGGGUGUUGGUGCACCACUUCGGCAGCUCGUACUCCCGCUGGAGGCUCGGGCAUCGAGACAGCAACUCGCGGGUCAGGGCCUUGCCGCCGUGCACGACGAAGGGUGCGCACCUGCGCGCAUCCUUCCUCGUGCGACCCAUCGAUCCGUGCCCCGUCGAGCCGCCGUCGACCGGACCGCCUCCACUGCGACCCACGAGUGACCUUCCCGCCUGACCCGAAUCACUUUAUCGUCAAGCCCGAGGGGAGAAAGUGUGCUGUUAACCAAGGAUGUGGAUGGAGGCGAGGGCAUCGCUCGCUCGCGGCGUACACUCUCAUCUCAUUAAAAAAAAUAAAAUACGAAUCGUUUGAUACUCUCUCACUCACAGCCGGGCGCGGCCGUCCUCGCCGAGGGCGCCGAGGGACCCGACGCCGCCCUGCUUCAGCAACGCUGACUUGCCCCCGCCGUUUGGUUUCUGCUUCCACUGAGCUCCGAAAACACUCCGGCUGAUCCGGUCCUUGUUCUGAGGGUUCACGGGGGGCAAAGCCUUGUCCACCGCCCUCGCCGCCGCGCUCCUCGGCGCCAGCGUCGACGCCAGAAACUCCCCCAGCACCCUGUCCGUCCAGCACGGCCCGAAUACACCGACGCCCUUCUCCAAAAAAGCGACGUGCCCGCCCUUCCGAACGUGAGCGAGCGCCACGUGCGAGCUCCCGCGGAUCGCCGCCUCGCACUGCUCGUGCUCGCCCAGGAACGGAUCGUCCAUGGCGAGCAGAUAAAGCGUCGGGGUCCGGAUGCUGGGUAUUAUGCGCUGCGGCGCGUAGUAGUCGUAGUACUCGCCCGCUUCCGAGAAACCGUGCGUCGCGACUAUGAGCUUGUCAAAGUCGGCGAUUGAUCGGAUAGCCUUGUCCUUGAACUCGACGUUCUUGUCCUCGCCUAUGGUGUCCACCUGGUCCUUGUGCUUCUGAUAGUACCGCGACAACUCGGAGCUCAGGGCGCCCUGGUAUAUCAGGCCGGUUGACCUGUUCAUGGCGGAUAACGAGGAGACCGGGUCCAUCGGGCACGAGAUCAAAACCGCGCCCGCGACCGGGUCGAACCCCUUGCUGUUCUCCUCCGCCAGGUAGGUCCCUAUGACGUAGGUUCCGAGGGAAUACCCCGCCAGGAGGAUGGGCGCGGACGGGUACCUGGACUUGCACGCGUUGACGGCCGUGCGCACGUCCUCGGCGUUCGCGGCGCAGUACACCUUCGCGUUGGACAGCGGCACCCCGUUGCAGCCGCGCAUGUUGAGCGCUACGCACCGCCACCCGCGAACAGCGCCCGUGGCCACCGCCCAUUUCGAGGGGCCCUCGUGGGAUCCCCCGUUGAUCCCGUGCAGCAUGAUGAACACGGGGGCGUCGUCGGGGAGGUCGCACGCCGCGGGGAUGUUGUGGGGGACGACCGCGCGGUUCGCGGCCUCCUCGGGGGUGAACGGCGGACGCGCGGGCGGCGUGAACCGCGCCUUCACCAGCCAGUCCAGCCCGACCUGCCCGCCGUCGGCGCACCGCAC